RNAcentral lists this microRNA precursor (58 nucleotides) under Limulus polyphemus (Atlantic horseshoe crab). Its description in RNAcentral is "Lpo-Mir-71-P8_pre stem-loop". It matches the Rfam family "mir-71 microRNA precursor family". The record is from RNAcentral. Lineage: Eukaryota; Metazoa; Arthropoda; Merostomata; Xiphosura; Limulidae.
UGAAAGACAUGGGUAGUGAGAUGACCUGUUCUAGCAUCUCACUACCUUGUCUUUGACG